Molecule: non-coding RNA, 213 nt
Organism: Cinara cedri
Lineage: Eukaryota; Metazoa; Arthropoda; Insecta; Hemiptera; Aphididae
Source: the annotation of a GenBank genome assembly
UAGCGGUACGAAUGUACACUGUUCAGUGGUGAUGCACAGUAAAAAAAAAGACAAGAUACAGCCGAUGUGUGUAUGCCACUGUUGUAGGUGGGAAGUUGGGAAGGUAGAAAAUGUAUAGAACCGUUUAAUUUACACCUGUACAAUGCUAUGAUAAGUUUUAGUUUUUAUUUUAUUUCUUUUGUUUCGGUGUACAACUUUUCUUCCUUGGCUUCA